UAGUGUUCAUCGUGCGAUCAGAUGGCACCAGGAGGAGUGGCGCCCCUGGCCAGUGGGAGACGUAGCAGUGCAGGAGGGGAGACCCUGGAGGAGAGAGCCCACCUAAAUUGAUGCCUGCUGAUUGAAUUUCCAGGCUUAGGAUGAGGAGGAGUUCUCCA
Non-coding RNA from Procavia capensis (Cape rock hyrax), 158 nucleotides. Lineage: Eukaryota; Metazoa; Chordata; Mammalia; Hyracoidea; Procaviidae. The record is from Rfam.